This is a long non-coding RNA of Vespa velutina, 793 nucleotides long. RefSeq lists it as uncharacterized. NCBI's taxonomy places the organism in Eukaryota, Metazoa, Arthropoda, Insecta, Hymenoptera, Vespidae. The record is from RefSeq and is a predicted model, not a curated record. The transcript has 3 exons.
UUUUCUUCUUUCCGUCUGUUUUCUUCUCUCCUUCUCUUCCCAUACGCGUCCAUCGUCCUUCCUUCUUCGCAAACACAUAUGUGAUAGUAACUACGAAGUCUAUCUUACGUACUCCAGGGUCCACGCACACUCGCAAACCUAAGUACGUACCUCUAUCUACGUCCGCGGAUCGAAUUACACCACCGCUAGCCCCUAUGUGGCAACUCUCUUACUUAACCUACCGUCGGGAACAGUAUCGACACAUUUUUCUUUCUCGGGGUGUGCCACAAACGGGGCACCCGCCUUCUCAGCGAAAGUCCACCUAAGAUAAUGUAUGUUAAUAAUAAAGCAAUGUAUAUAUGAUUCUAUCCCUAAGUCGAUGUCGACCAAAAGUGGGAAAAGCCGAAGAACGUGAAGAGAUACCGAACGGAUGGUAGACGGGCGGGGCAAUGGCAAUGGUGGCAAACUCGCGGAGGCACGAAGGAAGAUGAGGUCGGAGGUAAUCUGACACCUGGCCGCAUCGAAGGUAAGUUUAUAAUUACUUGGACGGAUAAUUAAAGCGGUCCCUCGGCACACCCUGGAUACAUUUUGUACCUCUCCGUCGUUGGCAAAGGGUGUAUAAUCGAUACCGACAUCGAGGGUUCUUCGUAACGGGAAACACCAUGCUCAAAACCCAUCCCUUGUGUUACCACGCGUGGAUCAUCCCUUAAAUACCGUACAGAAUGCAUCUUCGUAUAAACAAUCAUAAAGCACUAGAUGCACAUACAUACAUUUAAAUCAGGAAUAUAUAUAUAUAUACACAUAUAUAUAUUUU